GGAAUCGCUAGUAAUCGCGGAUCAGAAUGCCGCGGUGAAUACGUUCCCGGGUCUUGUACACACCGCCCGUCACACCAUGGGAGUCAGUAACGCCCGAAGUCAGUGACCCAACCUUAGGGAGGGAGCUGCCGAAGGCGGGACGGAUAACUGGGGUGAAGUCGUAACAAGGUAAC
This 173-nucleotide ribosomal RNA is filed under the name uncultured bacterium. RNAcentral describes it as "partial 16S ribosomal RNA". It matches the Rfam family "Bacterial small subunit ribosomal RNA", at positions 1328 to 1500 of the family's 1533-position model. The record is from RNAcentral.